CUCCGGAUUUCCCUCAGUACCUAGUGGCAGGAGCUCCCUAAGCAUUAGUUCCUGCUGGCAAGUGUAUGGCCUCACACUGUACAGUUUGUCAGAGAUAAGGCAGGAUGUAAAAAGCCCAGGCGCCUAAUGCUGCUCAUGGCUCCUCCUUUUUAGCAUGUAGCUCACUCACUUAGUUCAGGGAGAAAAUGCUGUUCCUCGGCUGCACCUCCCCCAAAGGAGCAGCUCUGGUGGUUUCUCUUUAAUUCAUGCAUCCUGGUGGAAGCCUGGCUCCCGAUGGCUCAGCACAGGGCCUUCCACCCAUAGAACGCAGACAGAAGUGGCUCUGUUUCGGGCUCCACCGCGGGAGGAGGAGUUUUCAUUCAGACUUUCGGAGGAGGUGGAGAUACCGAGAGCCUCACCAGAAAAGGUCCCCGGAGCCAGCCGGGGAUUCAGUCCUUUUCCUGCUCCUGCAUCGCCAUGGACCUGCCUUCCUCUCCCAUGAGAAUUUGGAAGCAGAGGCUGGAGGACCACCUGCUGAGAGAGGAGGGCCUUGUGCCAAGGAGUAGAUGAACUAGGUGACCACCUUGCAAUUCUCGAUGGGUGCCGUGGUUGGGGUUGUGAAAGCUCGCAUCUCAGUGGGAAGGCCUAGGCAGGAAGAUGGAGAUGGAGUGGAAAGUGGCAACACAUGGAUGGGAAAAGCAUGUUGAGAAGUGAUCAGAACUGGGCAAAGGGGAAAAGCAGAGGAUGGAAACAAGGGGCUUAAUGAAUACAGUUCCCUACCUCUUCUUCUAUUGAGUUUUCAUUCUUUGGUGUAUAGAGGCAACUGAUCCUGCUCAUGCCUCAUGCCCCUUCUUACUCUUCGGUGAUGGUCUUGCCUAUGUGAUCUCAUUCUAUCUAUCACUCUCUCUCUCUCUCUCUCUCUCUCUCUCUCUCUCAAUGGCUAAG
RNAcentral lists this long non-coding RNA (924 nucleotides) under Monodelphis domestica (gray short-tailed opossum). RNAcentral's name for it is "lncRNA (ENSMODG00000029849.2)". The record is from RNAcentral. Lineage: Eukaryota; Metazoa; Chordata; Mammalia; Didelphimorphia; Didelphidae.